AGAGUUUGAUCCUGGCUCAGAACGAACGCUGGCGGCAGGCUUAACACAUGCAAGUCGAACGGACCCUUCGGGGUUAGUGGCAGACGGGUGAGUAACGCGUGGGAACCUACCUAUAAGUACGGAACAACACAGAGAAAUUUGUGCUAAUACCGUAUGUGGUCUUCGGAUUAAAGAUUUAUCGCUUAUAGAUGGGCCCGCGUUAGAUUAGCUAGUUGGUGAGGUAACGGCUCACCAAGGCGACGAUCUAUAGCUGGUCUGAGAGGAUGAUCAGCCACACUGGGACUGAGACACGGCCCAGACUCCUACGGGAGGCAGCAGUGAGGAAUAUUGGACAAUGGGGGCAACCCUGAUCCAGCCAUGCCGCGUGAGUGAUGACGGCCUUAGGGUUGUAAAGCUCUUUCAGUAGUGAAGAUAAUGACGGUAACUACAGAAGAAGCCCCGGCUAACUUCGUGCCAGCAGCCGCGGUAAUACGAAGGGGGCUAGCGUUGUUCGGAAUCACUGGGCGUAAAGCGCGCGUAGGCGGACUUUUAAGUCAGGGGUGAAAUCCCGAGGCUCAACCUCGGAACUGCCUUUGAUACUGGAAGUCUUGAGUUCGAGAGAGGUGAGUGGAAUACCGAGUGUAGAGGUGAAAAUUCGUAGAUAUUCGGUGGAACACCAGUGGCGAAGGCGGCUCACUGGCUCGAUACUGAC
This 691-nucleotide ribosomal RNA is filed under the name uncultured Alphaproteobacteria bacterium. RNAcentral's name for it is "bacterial SSU rRNA". It matches the Rfam family "Bacterial small subunit ribosomal RNA", at positions 8 to 744 of the family's 1533-position model. Lineage: Bacteria; Pseudomonadati; Pseudomonadota; Alphaproteobacteria. The record is from RNAcentral.